AUUGAACGCUGGCGGCGUGCUUAACACAUGCAAGUCGGUCGGUAACAGGUGUAGCAAUACAUGCUGACGAGAGGCGGACGGGUGAGUAAUGCUUGGGAAUCUGCCUAUUAGUGGGGGACAACCCGGGGAAACUCGGGCUAAUACCGCAUACGCUCUACGGAGGAAAGCCGGGGACCGCAAGGCCUGGCGCUAAUAGAUGAGCCCAAGUCGGAUUAGCUAGUUGGUAGGGUAACGGCCUACCAAGGCGACAAUCCGUAGCUGGUCUGAGAGGACGACCAGCCACACCGGAACUGAGACACGGUCCGGACUCCUACGGGAGGCAGCAGUGGGGAAUAUUGGACAAUGGGGGCAACCCUGAUCCAGCGACGCCGCGUGGGUGAAGAAGGCCUGCGGGUUGUAAAGCCCUUUCGGUGGGGAAGAAAAGUCUCGACCUAAUACGUCGGGACCUUGACGUAACCCACUAAAGAAGCACCGGCUAACUCUGUGCCAGCCGCCGCCGU
RNAcentral lists this ribosomal RNA (500 nucleotides) under uncultured bacterium. RNAcentral's name for it is "bacterial SSU rRNA". It matches the Rfam family "Bacterial small subunit ribosomal RNA", at positions 29 to 521 of the family's 1533-position model. The record is from RNAcentral.